This 583-nucleotide long non-coding RNA is filed under the name Eucalyptus grandis. RNAcentral describes it as "long non-coding RNA (EGRA_LNC001754)". Lineage: Eukaryota; Viridiplantae; Streptophyta; Magnoliopsida; Myrtales; Myrtaceae. The record is from RNAcentral.
GCUAGUUCCCAUUUUAUGGCGUGAUGCUGAUCAGUGACGGAUAUACUAUUGAGGUAGAUGUUAGUAUAUUGUCAAGCUAAAAUGUUGCACUAAACUCUCCCUUGGGAUAUUAGAUUGACAUUUUAAGUAUGGAGGUUUCUAUGCUUUUCUUUUGGUACUUUUAUUCUUCAAUCACGAGAUCAUGCAAUUUAAGCCGGUCCCCAUGCCAAGACUGGACUCUUUUUUUUUUAAAAAAUAUAAAUAUAAGGGGGGCCUACUUCUUUCAUUUGCAUCUGAGUCAGUUUUUUAACAUGUAAGCAUGUUAGUCUCUGUCCUAUGAAUGUACUGAAUGGUGCUAUCAAUUUGCAGGUGGAUGACAGCGGCGCUAAUUGACUUCUACAUCAACGUCGUUGCUCUUUCUGUUUGUUUUGUAUUUUAUUAGAAGGGAACUCUUGAAGAAUUAUUUUUAUUUUGAAGACAUCACCUCAGUUAAUUUGCACGUGUAAAGUUAUCGAAUGGCUGAAUCAGAGGUAAUUCUUUACUCAUACAAUGUGAAAUAUAUUUUGUUUUCUUUUGAUGUUAUUUUUCUUAUUCAUUAUUUAUU